UACGGGGGGGGCAAGCGUUGUUCGGAAUUACUGGGCGUAAAGGGCUCGUAGGCGGCUGGCUAAGUCGGAUGUGAAAUCCCCAGGCUUAACUUGGGAACUGCAUCCGAUACUGGCUGGCUUGAAUCCGGGAGAGGGAUGCAGAAUUCCAGGUGUAGCGGUGAAAUGCGUAGAUAUCUGGAGGAAUACCGGUGGCGAAGGCGGUAUCCUGGACCGGCAUUGACGCUGAUGAGCGAAAGCCAGGGGAGCAAACGGG
Molecule: ribosomal RNA, 253 nt
Filed under: uncultured bacterium
Lineage: Bacteria
Description: partial 16S ribosomal RNA
Rfam family: Bacterial small subunit ribosomal RNA
Source: RNAcentral